This 254-nucleotide ribosomal RNA is filed under the name uncultured bacterium. Its description in RNAcentral is "partial 16S ribosomal RNA". It matches the Rfam family "Bacterial small subunit ribosomal RNA", at positions 524 to 776 of the family's 1533-position model. The record is from RNAcentral.
UACGAAGGGGGCUAGCGUUGCUCGGAAUCACUGGGCGUAAAGGGCGCGUAGGCGGACUUUUAAGUCAGGGGGUGAAAUCCUGAGGCUCAACCUCAGAACUGCCUUUGAUACUGAGGGUCUCGAGACCGGUAGAGGUAAGUGGAACUGCGAGUGUAGAGGUGAAAUUCGUAGAUAUUCGCAAGAACACCAGUGGCGAAGGCGGCUUACUGGACCGGUUCUGACGCUGAGGCGCGAAAGCGUGGGGAGCAAACAGG